Molecule: long non-coding RNA, 1417 nt
Organism: Polypterus senegalus (gray bichir)
Lineage: Eukaryota; Metazoa; Chordata; Cladistia; Polypteriformes; Polypteridae
Exons: 4
Source: RefSeq, a predicted model, not a curated record
ACUUGAUGAAGUGACCAAGGAGUUCAGUGUUCUGAAGGAUUUGUUCUGUGAUGGUACAAACACGUCUCCCGAUAACACUUGCUCUCUAUGUAAACCAGGCUGGGUCCUCUUCAGUUCCAAGUGUUACUUCAUCUCCACUAAUAAACUGACCUGGAAGGAGAGCCGUGAUUGGUGCGAGACAAGACGUGGACGACUAGUGAAUAUAGAAAGUUCUGACCUGCAGGACUUUUUAAAAAGUAAAGAUAAAGGUGAUCAUUGGAUUGGCGGAUACAACAUCAGUAAAGAAAACAAAUCUACCAAGAUCGGCGCUGAACCUGUGAAGUCCAAGAGAGCCAGCGAUGACGACAAAGAAGAGUGUUUGGAGAUACACGUGCAGUCGACCAAGGUGUAUAACUACAACUGUGAAUAUCCUUUACGAUGGAUCUGUGAGUCCGCUGUGUUUCCUCUUCGUAUUUAAACUUCUAUCAAGAGUUCCAGUCACCUGCCAGAGCCGCUGUCUUCUGUAAUCGUAAGGAUCACUUCAUCAGUAAAUCACAGAGCUGCUAGUCUGAGCCGAGUCCAGACGUUCACGUCACUUUGUCAUGUAGGUGACAGAGGUAGUGAGUGACAACAUACUCUACAUACAGGACUGGGGGGAAAUGAAAGCUGCCAUCUUAUUGUAAUGUCAGUGUUGGUCUGUGACUUCUUCUCAGUUCUGACUAAAUAGACCCCCGGACCCUGAACUGCACAUGGUGGUUAUAGAUAACUGAUGAAAUGAUAAAGCUUCAUUUACAUAUGAGAAGAAAUGCACAGUUCUGAGUUUUAUAAAACUAUUUUAUAUUUGUGUAACAAGCAACACAUUCAAGUCCUUUCAGCAUUUAGUAAAAUGAAGAUACGUCACCAACCUGUGUGUGUCUUGAGUGACGUGAUAAAGUAUUUACCCCCUUCCUAGUAUGUUCUGUUUUUACAUAUUUUACACAAUCCAUGACCUCUGACCUUUAGAGAAAUGAAAUAUUAGAAAAAGGAGACCUGAGGAAAGACACAGUACAGUUUUUAAAUCACUGCUUUCUUUAUUCAAUGAACAAAGUUAUUAAUCCAACACCUCAGUGACCGAUGUGAAGGUGUCAUUGCAGAUCAGAGUCUCAGUGCUUGGCUGGUGUAACUUUAGCAGCAGUAAUAAGAACUAAACACUCUGUGAUUUAUAAUUUGAGAUCAGACUUUCAUGAGCAUCAACUGUUCAUGUCGGCACUUCUGUUAGUACAAGUUAGCAGUUUGACGAGGCUCUGAAACUCUUUGGGUGUUUCUUCUGGACUCCUCAUUGCUGCCCCCUGUUGGCAGGCCAGCUCUUCCUAUGAAGAUGUUGCUCUUUUCUGAAUGUUUUUGAGAUGAUGGCUGUCACUGUGGUGCCGUGGAGUCACAGAGCCUUAGCAAUGGCUAA